This 70-nucleotide non-coding RNA is filed under the name Spodoptera frugiperda (fall armyworm). The record is from RNAcentral. Lineage: Eukaryota; Metazoa; Arthropoda; Insecta; Lepidoptera; Noctuidae.
GUUCUAAAAUUAUAGUUGUUUUUUUCGUAAACAGACAGGCCUAUGCAAAACAACUAUUAUUUAAGAACGU